CCGGCUUUUUAUCUUGAAACUAGUUCAUUUCGGAAGUUAUUACCAUGUUUAGAAACAUGAACAAAAAUAUCCUCCUGCUGCUCCUUUGUGCCUGUGGGUUGCUUUCUCUUAGCAUCCUCGCCGGUGCUGCUGUAGGUUAUGGUGCUGGUAAUGGCAAAAUCUUUGAUAUAACUCACAAAAUCACAUCCGAGUUGCCAAUUUUUAACUCAAAGAACGGGCUGGGUCACUUCAUUCGGCUUGUUUCAAGCAUUAAGAAUGGAUCCUUGGCUAAUGAAUCUGAGUUUAAGUUGGGAACCCACACUGGCACUCAUGUUGAUGCCCCUGGCCACUUCUUCCAAAAGUAUUAUGAGGAGGGCUUUGAUGUUACUACUCUUAGCCUGCAAACACUUAAUGGUCCUGCUCUAGUUGUUGAUGUUCCAAGAAACCAGAACAUUACUGCUGAAGUCAUGAAGUCGUUGAAUAUUCCCCGCGGUGUACAUCGUGUGCUUUUCAGAACACUUAAUACUGACAGGAGGCUGAUGCAUAAAACAAAGUUUGCUUCAGACUUCACUGGGUUUAAGAAGGAAGGGGCACAGUGGUUGGUCGAUAACACCGACAUCAAACUUGUUGGACUUGAUUACCUAUCUGUUGCUGCCUAUGUUGAUGCCGCCCCAACUCACCUUAUAUUCCUGAGAAGCAGGGAAAUUGUUCUAGUCGAAGGUCUAACCUUGAUGGAAUCGAGACAGGGAAGUAUGGUUCAUUGCCUACCGCUAAGGAUGGUUGAUGCAGAUGGAUGCCCAGCAAGAUGCAUUCUUAUUGCAUAAAACAAUGCCCUGAAGUAAGUUCUUCCACCAUCGGAACCAGAAACGGAAACUUUUAAGGAGAUGAGGACAGGCAUGAACUAUUGAGCUAUCUUGGACAAGUUGCUUUACAGUAUUUUUCAAUAAGAACACUUUGGGGUUGGUUAAAACUUGUUUGUGGGUACCUUAGAUCUAGGGCUUAAUCCCCUUCUCCGAUAUUUAAAAUUCGAUAUGAG
Molecule: RNA transcript, 1015 nt
Organism: Hibiscus syriacus
Lineage: Eukaryota; Viridiplantae; Streptophyta; Magnoliopsida; Malvales; Malvaceae
Gene name: cyclase-like protein 2
Exons: 7
Source: RefSeq, a predicted model, not a curated record